CUUCAUAAGUAAUUUGAUACUUUAUAUUUUUUCAUCUAUUUUAUUAGGUUGACAAGAUUGUGGCCAUAGCAGAAGACAUAAAGAAUAUAGGAAAUACUUUCUUCAAAUCCCAAAAUUGGGCAGUGGCAGCUAAAAAGUAUAGUAAAAGUUUACGGUAUGUAGAAGCUUCUGAAGCAGUGGCAGAGGCAGCAGACAAACCAAAGUUAAAGACCGUUGCUUUGACCUGCGUUUUAAACAUUGGUGCUUGUAAACUAAAACUGUCAGACUGGCAAGGAGCUAUUGAGAGCUGCUCAGAGGCUCUUAAAAUAGAUCCAGCAAAUACUAAAGCUCUCUACAGACGGGCUCAAGGAUGGCAGGGAAUAAAGGAUCUCGAGCAGGCAUUGGUUGAUCUUAAAAAGGCUCAUGAAAUUGCCCCUGAAGACAAAGCUAUCCAAACGGAAACACUCAGAAUCAAGCAGAAGAUGAAAGCCCAAAAGGAGAAAGAGAAGGCAGCUUAUGCUAAAAUGUUUGCUUGAUAUUUUUUUCGGAAGUUUUAAACCUAAGCACUAACUCUGUAAAAGGAUAAUGGAGCUGUAGGCAAGUGUUUCUUCUCUCAGUUGCCCUGUACUGCUGUUUUCAGUGUUUACAACUUAAAAGUCUAACAAUAAAGAUAAACUGUUCAA
Non-coding RNA from Tinamus guttatus (white-throated tinamou), 662 nucleotides. Lineage: Eukaryota; Metazoa; Chordata; Aves; Tinamiformes; Tinamidae. The record is from RefSeq and is a predicted model, not a curated record.